Molecule: long non-coding RNA, 529 nt
Organism: Passer montanus (Eurasian tree sparrow)
Lineage: Eukaryota; Metazoa; Chordata; Aves; Passeriformes; Passeridae
Exons: 3
Source: RefSeq, a predicted model, not a curated record
UGGGUGAGGGACAUGGGCAGUGCUGGUGCUGUGAUUUUAAUGCAACAAUCAGAUAUUUAAAACCCAGCCUGUGUUUAAUUGCUGCUCUGAGUGGCAGCAGCAGGAUCUGGUGCUCACACACCUCACUGCCCCAGUGCUGGGAGGGAAACGUGGCACCAGCCUCACAGCAAGAUGGCAUUUGCCCCAAUCCUGAAAUCAGGUGAUCCCAGUUCUUCUUUUUUAUUUUAAAAGUAGGCUAUAGAUCAAACUCUUCAGUGGCUGCAGAAGUUUCUGUUUUUCUGAUUCCCACAGGUAGGAAAGCCUCUCUUUUCACUCGUAUUCUCUCGGAGCCAUCUGCUCAGAACACUUUCAAAAUGAGGGCAAUUAGAGAUAAGAGCUAAUAACACUCCAACCUGCACGCUGGGAAAUGCCAUUUAAUCACCAUUGCCUCGCUGGCAAAUAAGGAGCAGCCCCUGACUGGACCAGGGUGAUAAAGCUCCCGUGCAGGCUGAAAUGAAGAGCCCAGCUGCAGUGUUUGCCACCGUGAAUU